Small nuclear RNA from Meriones unguiculatus (Mongolian gerbil), 107 nucleotides. Lineage: Eukaryota; Metazoa; Chordata; Mammalia; Rodentia; Muridae. The record is from Ensembl.
GUGCUUGCUUUGGCAGCACACAUACUAAAAUUGGAACGAUACAGAGAACAUUAGCAUGGCCCCAGGGCAAGGAUGACAUGCAGAUUCAUGAAGUGUUCCAUAUUUUU